RNAcentral lists this RNase P RNA (329 nucleotides) under Candidatus Woesearchaeota archaeon. RNAcentral describes it as "RNase P RNA component". It matches the Rfam family "Archaeal RNase P". From Rfam's summary of the family: Ribonuclease P (RNase P) is a ubiquitous endoribonuclease, found in archaea, bacteria and eukarya as well as chloroplasts and mitochondria. Its best characterised activity is the generation of mature 5'-ends of tRNAs by cleaving the 5'-leader elements of precursor-tRNAs. Cellular RNase Ps are ribonucleoproteins. The record is from RNAcentral. Lineage: Archaea; Nanobdellati; Candidatus Woesearchaeota.
GGUAGGAGUGGUAUUUAGCUUACGGUUUUAAAUUGAGGAAAGUCCGCCCACUAUUAACAAACUGCUUACGAGAGUAAGGAUCAGAAAUGGUCAGCUCUGGCUCAGAAACGACACGUCCUGUUGAAUGGAAUGAUAAAGAGUCCAAGUAAUGGCGAAGCAUUCAGAGAUGAAUGUGAGUUAACCUUUUGACGUCUUGACAGGGAACGAUGAAACGGCGAAUCUCAGUUGGUGCAAGUUGGUUCAACGCUUAGUAGAAUGCUAAAACAAACCAUCGCAAUUACAUUGUUAAUUGUUUGGGUUUGACAAAAGGCGGCUUAUUCCACCCUACC